RNAcentral lists this ribosomal RNA (497 nucleotides) under uncultured bacterium. RNAcentral describes it as "partial 16S ribosomal RNA". It matches the Rfam family "Bacterial small subunit ribosomal RNA", at positions 27 to 507 of the family's 1533-position model. The record is from RNAcentral.
GGGGGGGGGGGGGGGGGGGGGGGGGGGGGGGGGGGGGGGGGGGCGGGCGGGGGGCGUGCGGCUCUGGGGUUAGCGGCGGACGGGUGAGUAACACGUGGAGGACCUACCUAUAGGACUGGGAUAACUUCGGGAACCCGGAGCUAAUACCGGAUGAUAUCUUGAACCGCCGGGUUCAAAAGUGAAAGACGGUCUUUCUGUCACGUAUAGAUGGAUCCGCGCUGCCUUAGCUAGUUGGUAAGGUAACGGCUUACCAAGGCAACGAUGCAUAGCCGACCUGAGAGGGUGAUCGGCCACACUGGAACUGAGACACGGUCCAGACUCCUACGGGAGGCCGCAGUAGGGAAUCUUCCGCAAUGGGCGAAAGCCUGACGGAGCAACGCCGCGUGAGUGAUGAAGGUCUUCGGAUCGUAAAACUCUGUUAUUAGGGAAGAACAUAUGUGUAAGUAACUGUGCACAUCUUGACGGUACCUAAUCAGAAAGCCACGGCUAACUACGUG